Molecule: long non-coding RNA, 497 nt
Organism: Dendrobium catenatum
Lineage: Eukaryota; Viridiplantae; Streptophyta; Magnoliopsida; Asparagales; Orchidaceae
Exons: 3
Source: RefSeq, a predicted model, not a curated record
UCUCUCUCCUCUUACACUUUACCUUCGCAUUUCUCAGGCCGCCUUCUAGGGUUUCUCCGCCGUGCAUUGCUGCGAGCGCCUUGUGCUCGAUCUCGAUUUGAGAUUCUAAGAUCGUUUAUUUUUUCAUAAAAAAAUCGGCUGGAGGCACUUGACUUUACAUGGCGUGACAAAGAAGAAGUUGUUUUAGAGUCUCCUGCAGGGCAAAUUACUGAUUCUUAUGUUUGAUUGCGUACAAUAAAUGCUUCACAGUGAGGAUGAAAAGUUUCCAGGACUCAUGCUCUUAAUGGGCUACACCUGCAACUGCACUGAUAAGGAAACUCUAAAGAGGUGGUUCUUCAUUGACAAAAGGGUUGGUUAGUGGAUAAUUCAAAAUUACAUCAAAGAGAACGGAAGGUGCAGUUUGUUUAUAUUUGGAACUUCUAAAUCAGCCAGAAUGCGAGCAACCACUUUUCAAACUUUUCAGUAUUUAAGCUGGUUUCCAUAGAUUUAAAGCAGAG